GCUAUAGCACGUUGCCACUUUAUGCUCUUGUUACACAGAUGGGUACCCAUUUCAAGAAGUCAAUAUUUGAUGAGCCCAUUCAAGUUGGUCUUCUUGGUUGGGCUUUGAAAGCGAAAAUGAAGAGGGGACUCAAGGCUGCUACAGAUGCUGGAACUUCAACUGAGGGUUCUACAGUAAGAUUACAGAUGUCAGCAAUCAACCAGAAGGAAACAACCCAUCUUAAUUGGGAACACAAUUAUAAUCAACUAUAGUCGUCGUAAUUAAAACCUUAUAUUAAAUUUAUAAAAUAUUUUUUUCAACUCUUCUGAGGAACCAUAUUCGAAGAGGGAUAU
Molecule: unclassified non-coding RNA, 332 nt
Filed under: Hevea brasiliensis (rubber tree)
Lineage: Eukaryota; Viridiplantae; Streptophyta; Magnoliopsida; Malpighiales; Euphorbiaceae
Source: RNAcentral